Molecule: transfer RNA, 85 nt
Filed under: Sphingomonas sp.
Lineage: Bacteria; Pseudomonadati; Pseudomonadota; Alphaproteobacteria; Sphingomonadales; Sphingomonadaceae
Also listed under: 1 other name
Description: tRNA-Leu
Rfam family: tRNA
About the family: Transfer RNA (tRNA) molecules are approximately 80 nucleotides in length. Their secondary structure includes four short double-helical elements and three loops (D, anti-codon, and T loops). Further hydrogen bonds mediate the characteristic L-shaped molecular structure. tRNAs have two regions of fundamental functional importance: the anti-codon, which is responsible for specific mRNA codon recognition, and the 3' end, to which the tRNAs corresponding amino acid is attached (by aminoacyl-tRNA synthetases). tRNAs cope with the degeneracy of the genetic code in two manners: having more than one tRNA (with a specific anti-codon) for a particular amino acid; and 'wobble' base-pairing, i.e. permitting non-standard base-pairing at the 3rd anti-codon position.
Source: RNAcentral
GCGCGCGUGGCGGAAUUGGUAGACGCGCUGGAUUUAGGUUCCAGUGUCGACAGACGUGGGGGUUCGAGUCCCUCCGCGCGCACCA